RNAcentral lists this ribosomal RNA (240 nucleotides) under Triticum aestivum (bread wheat). Its description in RNAcentral is "partial small subunit ribosomal RNA". The record is from RNAcentral. Lineage: Eukaryota; Viridiplantae; Streptophyta; Magnoliopsida; Poales; Poaceae.
AUGGGGUUCUGGUGUGGGCCUUCCGAUGUCCAGGUGCUCCCCCAUACGACCACCACUUCCUCCUCAUCCUCCUCCUCGUCCUCCUCCUCCUCGACUAAAGAUUCUGGCGAUGGCGGCAAGAAGAAGCAGCAAGAAGGUGUAAAGAAGGAACAGGGGAAGGAGAAGAAGAGGAGCAACCUUGACCGGGCCGCCCUCACAACGCCCCGCCUCCCCUUCCAUUCUCGACCCGGUCUAAUGUGA